CAGCCUGAUGCAGCCAUGCCGCGUGUGUGAAGAAGGCCUUCGGGUUGUAAAGCACUUUCAGUCGUGAGGAAGGUAGUGUAGUUAAUAGCUGCAUUAUUUGACGUUAGCGACAGAAGAAGCACCGGCUAACUCCGUGCCAGCAGCCGCGGUAAUACGGAGGGUGCGAGCGUUAAUCGGAAUUACUGGGCGUAAAGCGCAUGCAGGUGGUUUGUUAAGUCAGAUGUGAAAGCCCGGGGCUCAACCUCGGAAUAGCAUUUGAAACUGGCAGACUAGAGUACUGUAGAGGGGGGUAGAAUUUCAGGUGUAGCGGUGAAAUGCGUAGAGAUCUGAAGGAAUACCGGUGGCGAAGGCGGCCCCCUGGACAGAUACUGACACUCAGAUGCGAAAGCGUGGGGAGCAAACAGGAUUAGAUACCCUGGUAGUCCACGCCGUAAACGAUGUCUACUUGGAGGUUGUGGCCUUGAGCCGUGGCUUUCGGAGCUAACGCGUUAAGUAGACCGCCUGGGGAGUACGGUCGCAAGAUUAAAACUCAAAUGAAUUGACGGGGGCCCGCACAAGCGGUGGAGCAUGUGGUUUAAUUCGAUGCAACGCGAAGAACCUUACCUACUCUUGACAUCCAGAGAACUUUCCAGAGAUGGAUUGGUGCCUUCGGGAACUCUGAGACAGGUGCUGCAUGGCUGUCGUCAGCUCGUGUUGUGAAAUGUUGGGUUAAGUCCCGCAACGAGCGCAACCCUUAUCCUUGUUUGCCAGCGAGUAAUGUCGGGAACUCCAGGGAGACUGCCGGUGAUAAACCGGAGGAAGGUGGGGACGACGUCAAGUCAUCAUGGCC
RNAcentral lists this ribosomal RNA (829 nucleotides) under uncultured bacterium. RNAcentral's name for it is "bacterial SSU rRNA". It matches the Rfam family "Bacterial small subunit ribosomal RNA", at positions 379 to 1200 of the family's 1533-position model. The record is from RNAcentral.